AACGAACGCUGGCGGCAGGCCUAACACAUGCAAGUCGAGCGAGCAUUUCGGUGCUAGCGGCGGACGGGUGAGUAACGCGUGGGAACGUGCCCUUUUCUGCGGAAUAGUCCUGGGAAACUGGGGGUAAUACCGCAUACGCCCUUUUGGGGAAAGAUUUAUCGGAGAAGGAUCGGCCCGCGUUGGAUUAGGUAGUUGGUUGGGUAAUGGCCCACCAAGCCGACGAUCCAUAGCUGGUUUGAGAGGAUGAUCAGCCACACUGGGACUGAGACACGGCCCAGACUCCUACGGGAGGCAGCAGUGGGGAAUCUUAGACCAUGGGGGCAACCCUGAUCUAGCCAUGCCGGGUGAGUGAUGAAGGCCUUAGGGUUGUAAAGCUCUUUCAGCUGGGAAGAUAAUGACGGUACCAGCAGAAGAAGCCCCGGCUAACUCCGUG
RNAcentral lists this ribosomal RNA (433 nucleotides) under uncultured bacterium. RNAcentral's name for it is "partial 16S ribosomal RNA". It matches the Rfam family "Bacterial small subunit ribosomal RNA", at positions 29 to 507 of the family's 1533-position model. The record is from RNAcentral.